AGGAUGAACGCUGGCGGCGUGCUUAACACAUGCAAGUCACGGGGGCCCAGCAAUGGGCAACCGGCGAACGGGUGCGUAACACGUGAGCAACCUACCUAAGUGAGGGGGAUAGCCGGCCCAACGGCCGGGUAAUACCGCAUACGCUCGAAUUGAGGCAUUUUGAUUCGAGGAAACCUACGGGGCACUAUGAGGGGCUCGCGGCCUGUCAGCUAGUUGGUGAGGUAACGGCUCACCAAGGCGACGACGGGUAGC
RNAcentral lists this ribosomal RNA (252 nucleotides) under uncultured soil bacterium. Its description in RNAcentral is "partial 16S ribosomal RNA". It matches the Rfam family "Bacterial small subunit ribosomal RNA", at positions 26 to 287 of the family's 1533-position model. The record is from RNAcentral.